GAUCAUGGCUCAGAUUGAACGCUGGCGGCAGGCUUAACACAUGCAAGUCGAACGGUAACAUAAAGAAGCUUGCUUUUUUGAUGACGAGUGGCGGACGGGUGAGUAAUGCUUGGGAAUCUAGCUUAUGGAGGGGGAUAACUACGGGAAACUGUAGCUAAUACCGCGUAAUAUCGAAAGAUUAAAGUGUGGGACCUUCGGGCCACAUGCCAUAGGAUGAGCCCAAGUGGGAUUAGGUAGUUGGUGAAGGG
This 248-nucleotide ribosomal RNA is filed under the name uncultured bacterium. Its description in RNAcentral is "partial 16S ribosomal RNA". It matches the Rfam family "Bacterial small subunit ribosomal RNA", at positions 15 to 259 of the family's 1533-position model. The record is from RNAcentral.